GCGGGGGUGGCGCGGCCCCGGGCGAGCAGGCGGCGUCGGCGGGGGUGUCGGUCCGCAGGGCUCCACGAUGUCGAAGGUUUCCUUUAAGAUCACGCUGACGUCGGACCCGCGGCUGCCUUACAAAGUACUUAGUGUUCCUGAAAGUACACCUUUCACAGCAGUCUUAAAGUUUGCAGCAGAAGAAUUUAAAGUUCCUGCAGCAACAAGUGCAAUUAUUACCAAUGAUGGAAUAGGAAUAAAUCCUGCACAGACUGCUGGAAAUGUUUUCCUAAAGCAUGGUUCAGAACUUCGAAUUAUUCCUAGAGAUCGUGUUGGAAGUUGUUAAUAUCUGCUGCUUGGAACAUAGGAUGACCUUUCCAAAUAAAUAUUGGUAUUGUUGUAAAACUGAAAUCAGGCAUUUAAAACUUUGAAAAGACCAGUAGCUGAUGAAAUAAUGAAGGGUGGCUCUGUCCCUUCUUGUUAUUCACACUCUUCCUGUGACAAGGGAAUGUUUAUGCACAAAGGGUACCAUCUCCACAGAAGAUCAUAGUCUGUCAUUGCUACCUCACAACACGUAACAGAUGCAACUACAAGAUUGGUAAUCUUCUAACCAGACUAUUGCCCAUAAGCCCUCCGAGAUAGAAAUUCUGGAACCACCCUAUGAUAAUACUGGAGAUAGAUAAAUCAUUAUUUAAAUCAGGCUAUGUAAUUAAACCAUUCUUCCAAAUUGCUUAAGCCAGGUAUUUGGAACUCACUAGAUUUUAUUCCUUUCUUUUGCCAUAGCAAACCCAUCACAAGAUUCUUUUUUGAUUGCAUUUAUGAAAUCUGUCUCAAGAUCUACUAUAAUUAAAGCUCUCAAAAAAAAAAAAAAAGCUCUCAUCCUCUCAUAAAUGAUGUUGGAAAAGCUUCUAGUCCCUCUGUUCCCUCUUUCACACUACUGUAAUGGGGUUUUUGGCAUGGAAAUACGAUUGUGUAGUUCCACUAGUCGAAAUCCUACUGAAUAAAAAUCUAUAUGUGACCUGUUAGACACUUCAUGAACUGUUCAGUCAGCUGUUACCACGACUUUCUCACAGUUUCCUUCUCUGAUUUGCACUGCAGCUAUACUGAACUACAAAUAUUUAUUAUCUCUCUUGUGCCAUGGUCUCACACCUCUAUGCCUUUAUGUUCUACAGUGGUCUUUCCUGAGAAACCUAGGAUUGAUUCUUCAAGUUUAAAAGCCAUGGAGCCUUUCCUCACUCCUCCCAAGCAGAGCUAGAUGUUUAACUCUCUAAGAAACCAUUGCAAUUCGUACAUUACCCCAUUGUAGCAAUUGUUAAAUGCAGAGUCUCAUAUUUGUCUCUGAUUUAAAGUAUAGAUUUUAUAAAAGCAUAAGAUUGUGACUAAAACAGGAUUUCCAAAUUGCCUUGCAUGUAAUAGGUAACAAGUACUUUGAUCAAAAGACUACAUAAGAGGAUAAAAACUUUGAAAAUUGCAACAAUUUGUAGCUCAUGCCUAAUAACUUCUGCUAGAAUAUGUGGUUAAUGAAUAUAUUCCUCACCAUUUCUUGUAGUUGAGAAUUUAGUCUGACUUAAAUGAAUUAAUCACUUUUAAAAUUGAAAAGCAGUCUCCUAUUUUUAACAUAUAUUAAUUAUUAGCUAUAUCAUGGGAAUUGCUAAAUGCUGGAGAUGAAAUAAAAUUAAGACUCAUUUCUUUGGGUCCCCAAAAUUUACCCAUUUCAGAAACCACAAAAUCCACAUAGCUAUAUGGGAAAUGAAGAUGUUUUUUACCAAGACCUUUUUAAUGUGCUGGGCACAGUGCUAGGCACUUCACAAGUAUGAUCUCUAAUCCUUAAUCUCUGUGCAAAAUGCUGGUAUUAAUUUUUUCUUUAAUGUUAAACAGCCAAGAUUUAGGUUAAUGUGUCCAAAGUUAGAAUGAGAUCGGCUCCUAGGGCUAUAUGAUUAUAAACUCUACCCUGCAAAUCAUUACAUGCUUGCUAUAAUUUUCCUAGAAUUAUAUUGAAAUAUUUUUCCAAACUGAAAAAGGGUACUUCAAACCUUGCUUUUUGAACAUUUCUGUGAUCUCACUUGGCUUGAGAAAUUUAACAUUCAUUAAUCUGUAUAGACGCACUUAGGCUCUUUUUCAGUAUAUAUACAACAAAAAGAAUUGUGAGCAUCCGAAAAGAGGCUCUAUUAUCUGCUUUGCUUUAUAGAGGGUGUUGUGGUAAUUGUCUGGAUGCGAAACAGCGGCCAAGAUUGGCAGACAAACCGGCAUAAAUCUCUGAUUUUCUGGCAAAACUCGUUAGCAAUGUAAAAGCUGUUAUUGAGAGCAUAUUGUGAUGAUGCAUCAUGUCAAUAUUUGUUUGGCUGUGUAACACUGGAUUUAAUAAAUUCUUAAAUGUACAAUUUACAGCUGAUGAGCUGUUUUAGAAAUAAACUGUGGUAUGUGUUGUCAGUGCCACAAACAUUU
Canis lupus familiaris (dog) is the source of this 2424-nucleotide RNA transcript. It is a transcript of the gene named ubiquitin fold modifier 1, with no coding region annotated. NCBI's taxonomy places the organism in Eukaryota, Metazoa, Chordata, Mammalia, Carnivora, Canidae. The record is from RefSeq and is a predicted model, not a curated record. The transcript has 7 exons.